UGCGCAGGCGGCUCUUUAAGACAGGUGUGAAAUCCCCGGGCUUAACCUGGGAAUUGCGCUUGUGACUGGGGAGCUUGAGUGCGGCAGAGGGGGAUGGAAUUCCUGGUGUAGCAGUGAAAUGCGUAGAUAUCAGGAGGAACACCGAUGGCGAAGGCAGUCCCCUGGGUCGACACUGACGCUCAGGCACGAAAGCGUGGGGAGCAAACA
This 207-nucleotide ribosomal RNA is filed under the name uncultured bacterium. RNAcentral's name for it is "partial 16S ribosomal RNA". It matches the Rfam family "Bacterial small subunit ribosomal RNA", at positions 568 to 774 of the family's 1533-position model. The record is from RNAcentral.